This 30-nucleotide non-coding RNA is filed under the name Mus musculus (house mouse). Lineage: Eukaryota; Metazoa; Chordata; Mammalia; Rodentia; Muridae. The record is from RNAcentral.
UAACUAAUAUCAGUUGUGUUACUACAUGUC